Molecule: RNA transcript, 1838 nt
Organism: Xenia sp. Carnegie-2017
Lineage: Eukaryota; Metazoa; Cnidaria; Anthozoa; Malacalcyonacea; Xeniidae
Gene name: eukaryotic translation initiation factor 2 subunit 1-like
Exons: 8
Source: RefSeq, a predicted model, not a curated record
UAUUAAUGGCUUUGUUAUUGUGAAAUUGAGAUUCAGUGUUUAUUUGUUGCUUUGAAUUGCAUUCAGAGCUACAAAAUUUCGACAAUGACUUCAAGAAAGCGUUGCUACAAUGGAUUAAAACACGCAAAACAACAUAUGAUAUUAUUUUUCAUUUUAUUCGGCGUACUUUGUGGAUUUUUACUCGGUUCUUUAUUGCAUGGCAAUGUUCAGUCGUCCAUAGAUCCAACACCGAAGGAAUAUGCAAUGUAGAUGUCGUUUCUUGGUGAGAUUUGGGUGAGAGCAUUAAGACUUUUGGUCCUUCCUUUGAUUGUAUCCAGCCUGCUUUUCGCAGUCGCUGAAUUGGAGUCAAAACAGAGCGGAAAAUUGGGAAGAAGAACAUUGCUGUAUUGUCUUAUGACUACAAUGUUUGGGGAGUAAUUUGUUUAUUUGCAUUUAACCUGGAAAUGUUAACGUGAAAGAACCAGAACCGAACGAAGAAAAAGUUGAACCGAUACCUUCUGUGCUUCAUCUUACAAGAUAAAUCCCAUUUCACCACCUACCUAUGUUGUCAUGACAACAACAAUGAAUCGAGAAGAAGGUUUGAAAGCUUUGGAAACAUCUAUCAAAGCCAUUGAAGAAGUCAUUAUGAACAAGAAAGGAACAUUUGUUUUACAACAAGCUAUAAAUCCCAUUUCACCACCAACCUAUGUUGUCAUGACAACAACAAUAAAUCGAGAAGAAGGUUUAAAAGCUUUGGAAACAUCUAUCAAAGCCAUUGAAGAAGUCAUUAUGAACAAGAAAGGAACAUUUGUUUUACAACAAGCUCCAAAGGUUGUCACAGAUAUGGAUGAAGUAGAUUUUGCAAAGGAACUGGAAAAACUUGAACGUCAAAAUGCAGAAGUUGAUGGUGAUGACGAUAAUCCUGACAAUGAAGAAGAACAAGAUGAAGUAAAAGUGAUUAUGGAUUUUCAUUGGUUUCAUAAUUCCUCGAGAUUUUGAUUGGUUGGGAGAAACUUGGUUGUACUUUUGGACUUUGGCGCUGGAAAAUUUGUAUUCAACGUUACAUUCAACGUAACAUGCAAACGAAUGAAGACGACGAACGACUAACACAGAGGUUUUAAUAAGAAACCCUACAGGGAAGUGUCAAGAAGCAGUGACAGCCUAGAUAGAGGAGAGGAUCACAUCACAAAAAGUUGCCCUCUAAAGCGAAAAGCGUAUAAAACGUGUAAAACUGGAGACUUGACUAGUUGAUUUGAUUUUUGUAUAUUUCUUUACGUGGCUAACUUGGCUUUAAAAAAAAAGAUCGUCAUUUACAAAAAGAUGAACGACAAAGGUGAAAAAUCCUGUGUUGGAAAAGAGAAUGGGCUAGAAGAUGGCAACGAAAGAUACGACAAUACAUUAGAAAAUGAAAGUAUGGAAGAUGGUGAAAAUACUCAACCAAUUCUAAAUUUACCCAUUCAAGAGACUUUUCCUGAAGAAUUUUUGUUUGACCUGCUAGACUUUACAAGAGAAGAUAGAUGUGCGAUGGAAAUGCUGAACGAGGAUUUUGUGUUAAAUGUUCCAUCAACUUUGGAAAAACUUUAAAGAUUUGUUAACUUCAACGUAAAAUGAUUUAUACUAAGAGAAAUAAAUCAUGUACAUAUUAUAUGAUAAAUAGGUUUGUGUAAAACGUAAGAACUCAAGAAAAUAUUUUGUUUUAACCAUUCAAUAAUCAAUGGAAGAAAGGCAUACUGUAAUCUUAUGUACUAAUGAACAAUUUAAAAUAAUCUGUACGUUUUUCUAAAGCUCUUUCUUAAUAAUAUUUAUUUUAUUAAUGUAAUUAUUAAUAUUUAUUGAAUGCUAAUUUUUUCGUGCUGUCA